GGCGAGGGGAGUGAAAAAGAACCUGAAACCGUGUACGUACAAGCAGUAGGAGCCCACUAGUUGGGUGACUGCGUACCUUUUGUAUAAUGGGUCAGCGACUUAUAUUCUGUAGCAAGGUUAACCGUAUAGGGGAGCCGCAGGGAAACCGAGUCUUAACUGGGCGUUAAGUUGCAGGGUAUAGACCCGAAACCCGGUGAUCUAGCCAUGGGCAGGUUGAAGGUUGGGUAACACUAACUGGAGGACCGAACCGACUAAUGUUGAAAAAUUAGCGGAUGACUUGUGGCUGGGGGUGAAAGGCCAAUCAAACCGGGAGAUAGCUGGUUCUCCCCGAAAGCUAUUUAGGUAGCGCCUCGUGAAUUCAUCUUCGGGGGUAGAGCACUGUUUCGGCUAGGGGGUCAUCCCGACUUACCAACCCGAUGCAAACUACGAAUACCGAAGAAUGUUAUCACGGGAGACACACGGCGGGUGCUAACGUCCGUCGUGAAGAGGGAAACAACCCAGACCGCCAGCUAAGGUCCCAAAGUCAUGGUUAAGUGGGAAACGAUGUGGGAAGGCCCAGACAGCCAGGAUGUUGGCUUAGAAGCAGCCAUCAUUUAAAGAAAGCGUAAUAGCUCACUGGUCGAGUCGGCCUGCGCGGAAGAUGUAACGGGGCUAAACCAUGCACCGAAGCUGCGGCAGCGACACUAUGUGUUGUUGGGUAGGGGAGCGUUCUGUAAGCCGUUGAAGGUGGCCUGUGAGGGUUGCUGGAGGUAUCAGAAGUGCGAAUGCUGACAUAAGUAACGAUAAUGCGGGUGAAAAACCCGCACGCCGGAAGACCAAGGGUUCCUGUCCAACGUUAAUCGGGGCAGGGUGAGUCGACCCCUAAGGCGAGGCCGAAAGGCGUAGUCGAUGGGAAACAGGUUAAUAUUCCUGUACUUGGUGUUACUGCGAAGGGGGGACGGAGAAGGCUAUGUUGGCCGGGCGACGGUUGUCCCGGUUUAAGCAUGUAGGCGGAUGUUCCAGGUAAAUCCGGAGCGUCACUAACGCUGAGGUGUGAUGACGAGGCACUACGGUGCUGAAGUGACAAAUGCCCUGCUUCCAGGAAAAGCCUCUAAGCAUCAGGUAACAUCAAAUCGUACCCCAAACCGACACAGGUGGUCAGGUAGAGAAUACCAAGGCGCUUGAGAGAACUCGGGUGAAGGAACUAGGCAAAAUGGUGCCGUAACUUCGGGAGAAGGCACGCUGAUGGUAGGUGAAGUGACUUGCUCAUGGAGCUGAAAUCAGUCGAAGAUACCAGCUGGCUGCAACUGUUUAUUAAAAACACAGCACUGUGCAAACACGAAAGUGGACGUAUACGGUGUGACGCCUGCCCGGUGCCGGAAGGUUAAUUGAUGGGGUUAUCCUCGCGGAGAAGCUCUUGAUCGAAGCCCCGGUAAACGGCGGCCGUAACUAUAACGGUCCUAAGGUAGCGAAAUUCCUUGUCGGGU
RNAcentral lists this ribosomal RNA (1466 nucleotides) under human gut metagenome. Its description in RNAcentral is "bacterial LSU rRNA". It matches the Rfam family "Bacterial large subunit ribosomal RNA", at positions 528 to 1977 of the family's 2925-position model. The record is from RNAcentral.